CCUACGGGAGGCAGCAGUGAGGAAUAUUGGUCAAUGGACGAGAGUCUGAACCAGCCAAGUAGCGUGAAGGAUGACUGCCCUAUGGGUUGUAAACUUCUUUUAUAAAGGAAUAAAACGAGGUACGUGUGCCUUUUUGCAUGUACUUUAUGAAUAAGGAUCGGCUAACUCCGUGCCAGCAGCCGCGGUAAUACGGAGGAUCCGAGCGUUAUCCGGAUUUAUUGGGUUUAACGGGAGCGUAGAUGGGUUGUUAAGUCAGUUGUGAAAGUUUGCGGCUCAACCGUAAAAUUGCAAUUGAUACUGGCAGUCUUGAGUACAGUUGAGGUAGGCGGAAUUCGUGGUGUAGCGGUGAAAUGCUUAGAUAUCACGAAGAACCCCGAUUGCGAAGGCAGCUUACUAAACUGUGACUGACAUUGAUGCUCGAAAGUGUGGGUAGCAAACAGGAUUAGAUACCCGUGUAGUC
Molecule: ribosomal RNA, 460 nt
Filed under: uncultured bacterium
Lineage: Bacteria
Description: partial 16S ribosomal RNA
Rfam family: Bacterial small subunit ribosomal RNA
Source: RNAcentral